RNAcentral lists this ribosomal RNA (459 nucleotides) under uncultured bacterium. Its description in RNAcentral is "partial 16S ribosomal RNA". It matches the Rfam family "Bacterial small subunit ribosomal RNA", at positions 338 to 795 of the family's 1533-position model. The record is from RNAcentral.
CCUACGGGGUGCAGCAGUGAGGAAUAUUGGUCAAUGGUCGGGAGACUGAACCAGCCAAGCCGCGUGAGGGAUGAAGGUACAGAGUAUCGUAAACCUCUUUUGUCAGGGAACAAAGGCGGGGACGUGUCCCCGGAUGAGUGUACCUGAAGAAAAAGCAUUGGCUAACUCCGUGCCAGCAGCCGCGGUAAUACGGAGGAUGCGAGCGUUAUCCGGAUUUAUUGGGUUUAAAGGGUGCGUAGGCGGGAUGCCAAGUCAGCGGUAAAAAUGCGGUGCUCAACGCCGUCGAGCCGUUGAAACUGGCGUUCUUGAGUGGGCGAGAGGUAUGCGGAAUGCGUGGUGUAGCGGUGAAAUGCAUAGAUAUCACGCAGAACUCCGAUUGCGAAGGCAGCAUACCGGCGCCCUACUGACGCUGAGGCACGAAAGCGUGGGUAUCGAACAGGAUUAGAUACCCCAGUAGUC